UGGUGUAACGGUUAGCACACUCGGCUCGUAUUCGAGAGGUCGAAGUUCGAGUCUUGG
Molecule: transfer RNA, 57 nt
Filed under: Stegodyphus mimosarum
Lineage: Eukaryota; Metazoa; Arthropoda; Arachnida; Araneae; Eresidae
Source: Rfam by way of RNAcentral